RNAcentral lists this ribosomal RNA (472 nucleotides) under uncultured bacterium. Its description in RNAcentral is "bacterial SSU rRNA". It matches the Rfam family "Bacterial small subunit ribosomal RNA", at positions 355 to 825 of the family's 1533-position model. The record is from RNAcentral.
UGGGGAAUUUUGGACAAUGGGGGCAACCCUGAUCCAGCAAUGCCGCGUGAGUGAAGAAGGCCUUCGGGUUGUAAAGCUCUUUUGUCAGGGAAGAAACGGUAGUAGCGAAUAACUAUUACUAAUGACGGUACCUGAAGAAUAAGCACCGGCUAACUACGUGCCAGCAGCCGCGGUAAUACGUAGGGUGCAAGCGUUAAUCGGAAUUACUGGGCGUAAAGCGUGCGCAGGCGGUUGUGUAAGUCAGAUGUGAAAUCCCCGGGCUCAACCUGGGAAUUGCAUUUGAGACUGCACGGCUAGAGUGUGUCAGAGGGGGGUAGAAUUCCACGUGUAGCAGUGAAAUGCGUAGAUAUGUGGAGGAAUACCGAUGGCGAAGGCAGCCCCCUGGGCUAACACUGACGCUCAUGCACGAAAGCGUGGGGAGCAAACAGGAUUAGAUACCCCUGUAGUCCCUGAGCGGGCUGGCAAGGCGCAU